Molecule: long non-coding RNA, 313 nt
Filed under: Phoenix dactylifera (date palm)
Lineage: Eukaryota; Viridiplantae; Streptophyta; Magnoliopsida; Arecales; Arecaceae
Description: long non-coding RNA (PDAC_LNC013337)
Source: RNAcentral
CUGGGAAUUCCUUGUAAUCACACGAGCACGCCGUUGUAACCAGAAAUUAUUGAAAUGAAAAGUGUUAUACAUUUUUGAACUGUCUUUCUGGCAUUGUCGUUCUACUGGUAAUACAUCCGCAGGUUAGCGGAAUUCCAGCUCCUUGGAAUUUCUCGACCAUCUAGGGCCUCCAACUGGUAGGAGCCAGGUCGGUUUACCAGCGAACCCUAUACGGGCCUUCCCAAUUUGGCGCUAGCUUCCCACCUUCCGCAGGUUGAGAUGCUUUAGCUCGCCUUAGCACCAGAUCUCCGAUUCUGAAAAGCUUCGGUCGGAC